This 323-nucleotide ribosomal RNA is filed under the name uncultured bacterium. RNAcentral's name for it is "partial 16S ribosomal RNA". It matches the Rfam family "Bacterial small subunit ribosomal RNA", at positions 372 to 710 of the family's 1533-position model. The record is from RNAcentral.
GGGGGGNAAYCCUGANCGCAGCGACGCCGCGUGCGGGACGGAGGCCUUCGGGUCGUAAACCGCUUUCAGCAGGGAAGAGUCAAGACUGUACCUGCAGAAGAAGCCCCGGCUAACUACGUGCCAGCAGCCGCGGUAAUACGUAGGGGGCGAGCGUUAUCCGGAUUCAUUGGGCGUAAAGCGCGCGUAGGCGGCCCGGCAGGCCGGGGGUCGAAGCGGGGGGCUCAACCCCCCGAAGCCCCCGGAACCUCCGCGGCUUGGGUCCGGUAGGGGAGGGUGGAACACCCGGUGUAGCGGUGGAAUGCGCAGAUAUCGGGUGGAACACC